Molecule: ribosomal RNA, 362 nt
Filed under: uncultured Desulfobulbus sp.
Lineage: Bacteria; Pseudomonadati; Thermodesulfobacteriota; Desulfobulbia; Desulfobulbales; Desulfobulbaceae
Description: bacterial SSU rRNA
Rfam family: Bacterial small subunit ribosomal RNA
Source: RNAcentral
AAGAAUCUGGAGGACAGGUGCUGCAUGGCUGUCGUCAGCUCGUGUCGUGAGAUGUUGGGUUAAGUCCCGCAACGAGCGCAACCCUUGCCUUUAGUUUGCCAGCAGUUCGGCUGGGCACUCUAAAGGGACUGCCGGUGUUAAACCGGAGGAAGGUGGGGAUGACGUCAAGUCCUCAUGGCCUUUAUGACCAGGGCUACACACGUACUACAAUGGCCGAUACAAAGGGCAGCGACACUGCGAGGUGAAGCCAAUCCCGUAAAAUCGGUCUCAGUCCGGAUUGGAGUCUGCAACUCGACUCCAUGAAGUUGGAAUCGCUAGUAAUCGUGGAUCAGCAUGCCACGGUGAAUACGUUCCCGGGCCUU